AAAAGUCCCCACGUUUAUCAAAACAUCAAUUUAUCAUUGAUUUCCUCACGAGUGACAGAGAUUUAUGUCCUGGUUUUGGUUCUCCGUGUCCUGGAUGGAGCUCGGAUGAAUAAUACGAGUGUCAGCGUUUACCAUGAGCAGCAGGACGUUGCUGGAGACGGCGACGUUAAACGGCUGGAAGCGGUUGAUGGCGGAGAAAGCUGACAGCUCCACCAGUGUGUGAGGAUCUCUGAGGACAGACACAGAGUGAGACAGGUUUCCCAGCAACUCUACGCUGCAGUAAAUACCGUCAUUGUAAUUUAUUCUGUCUUCUGUCUGGAUCUCAUUCAAAGAUAAAUGGAAUUACAGGUUUAUUACCUGGCGAUGUCUCUGGUUCCCAGUGUGCAGUAUCUGACAGGGAUUCUCUCUCUGUCUCCUCUCCUGUGCACCACACUAACAUCUGGAACACACACACCACUGGAUUUUUCCCCAAAAUGCACAAUCUCUUCUCAGCAGGCAGCUUAGUUUUGUGCACCUUUUUA
Neoarius graeffei (lesser salmon catfish) is the source of this 521-nucleotide long non-coding RNA. RefSeq lists it as uncharacterized. The record is from RefSeq and is a predicted model, not a curated record. The transcript has 3 exons. Lineage: Eukaryota; Metazoa; Chordata; Actinopteri; Siluriformes; Ariidae.